CAGUAGCCGCGGGAAUACGUAGGUGGCGAGCGUUGUCCGGAAUUAUUGGGCGUAAAGGGAGCGCAGGCGGACAUAUAAGUCCAUCUUAAAAGUGCGGGGCUCAACCCCGUGAGGGGAUGGAAACUGUAUGCCUUGAGUGCAGGAGAGGAAAGCGGAAUUCCCAGUGUAGCGGCGAAAUGCGUAGAUAUUGGGAGGAACACCAGUGGCGAAGGCGGCUUUCUGGACUGUAACUGACGCUGAGGCUCGAAAGCCAGGGGAGCGAACGGGAUUAGAUACCCCUGUAGUCCCUGUCUUUAUACAC
This 301-nucleotide ribosomal RNA is filed under the name uncultured bacterium. RNAcentral describes it as "partial 16S ribosomal RNA". It matches the Rfam family "Bacterial small subunit ribosomal RNA", at positions 509 to 809 of the family's 1533-position model. The record is from RNAcentral.